This is an RNA transcript of Phlebotomus argentipes, 1451 nucleotides long. It is a transcript of the gene named trafficking protein particle complex subunit 3-like, with no coding region annotated. The transcript has 4 exons. Lineage: Eukaryota; Metazoa; Arthropoda; Insecta; Diptera; Psychodidae. The record is from RefSeq and is a predicted model, not a curated record.
AAAUGGCGAUUUGUCCCGGCUGCCGUUCAACAUUUUGAGCUAUUAAUUUUGAGUAAUUGGAGAAAUUUCAACCUAUAUUUCAACUCUAAAUAGGUAGAUUAGGUAUUCAUGUGUUAUUUAUUAUUUUGCAAAAAUGAUAAAAACUACCUGAAUUGUGAAUUAAGCUGAAAAUAUGCUUUAUUUUUCUUGUGACCAUGUCAGUGUAAGUGAAGUGUAAGGUGAGGAUUUCAGUUGGAUUUCCGGGUUUUCUGAGCGUGCGUGUUUUGAUGACAAUACAAAUCAAUCUAAAUUUGUCAAAUUUUGUUAAAAUUACGCUGAAAAAGGAUCUUUUUGCCGAAUUUUCUCACUCAGAAGUAUCUUGCAGCCUCUGUGAAACCCGAAAGGAUGUCCAGGCAGGGCAGUCGGCUGGAUUCCAAGAAAGUGACCUGCGUCUGCUAGCCACUUGCCGGAAAAGCCCAUCCCGCCUUUUAGCAUGGACACGAGUGGCAGCAGCGACAUCGCCGGCACCUCCGGACAGCUGCAGGUGCUGCCGCUGAGUCAGGUGCUGUCCGGCACGAGCGGCCAGCCGAUACUUGUGCAGGCGCUGCCACAGCAGAUCUCCACCGGCACGCAGCCCAUGCAGAUGCUGCCUCUAGCGCAGCUACAGCAGUCCGGCGCCCAGAUUAUGGUGCAGCCCACGCCGGCGGCGCAACCGCAGGCACAGUUCAUCCAGCUGGCGGACGGUCAGACGUUGGUGGUGCAUCCGUUGCCCGGAAUUGGUGUGUCCGACGGCGUGGCCAGCCAGCCGCAGCUCAUCAACAUCAACGGCAACCUGUUGCAGCUGCCUGUGAGCCAGAACACCACCGCGGCGUCCAUAGCGCAGCCCCAGGUGAUGAUGGUGGCCACGGAGGCUCAGCCGCAAGGCCAAAGCGUGAAAGUCACGCACCAGCCCGCCUCGCUCACCACGCAGACGACGCCAGCCGCGUCUACGACCACCGCGGUGGCGAGCAGCAGCGCUAGCGGCGAGUCCGAGGACCAGAUUCUCUACGUGAACGCCAAGCAGUACAAGCGGAUCCUCAAGCGGAGGCAGGCGCGUGCCAAGCUCGAGGCACAGGGUAGAAUACCCAAGGAGCGCUCCAAGUAUCUGCACGAGUCGCGGCACAGGCAUGCGAUGAACAGGAUUCGCGGCGAGGGUGGCAGAUUUCACUCGGGCAGUGCUCAGUCGCAGAAAUGACUGCAAAUCCACUGAGUGUGUCUUCUGGGGAAUUCGAGGUUGCACUUUUCAUUCACUGUCAGUGAAAGUUUGGGAGCUGAAGGGCUUUGGCGUCCAGGAAAUAACUUAUUGAUGCAAUUAAAGGUUUCAAAUUCAGAGCUCUGAACUCCUCACGCUGACCUAUGGAGCUUUGGUGUCGCAAAUGCUGAGGGACUUUGAGAAUGUGGACGAUGUGAAUAAGCAGCUGGAGCGUGUGGGC